This 440-nucleotide ribosomal RNA is filed under the name uncultured bacterium. Its description in RNAcentral is "bacterial SSU rRNA". It matches the Rfam family "Bacterial small subunit ribosomal RNA", at positions 339 to 796 of the family's 1533-position model. The record is from RNAcentral.
CUACGGGAGGCAGCAGUGGGGAAUAUUGGACAAUGGGCGAAAGCCUGAUCCAGCCAUGCCGCGUGAGUGAUGAAGGCCUUAGGGUUGUAAAGCUCUUUUAACGGGGAAGAUAAUGACGGUACCCGUAGAAUAAGCCCCGGCUAACUUCGUGCCAGCAGCCGCGGUAAUACGAAGGGGGCUAGCGUUGUUCGGAAUUACUGGGCGUAAAGCGCACGUAGGCGGAUUUGUAAGUCAGGGGUGAAAUCCCGGGGCUCAACCUCGGAACUGCCUUUGAUACUGCAAGUCUUGAGUCCGGAAGAGGUGAGUGGAAUUCCUAGUGUAGAGGUGAAAUUCGUAGAUAUUAGGAAGAACACCAGUGGCGAAGGCGGCUCACUGGCCCGAUACUGACGCUGAGGUGCGAAAGCGUGGGGAGCAAACAGGAUUAGAUACCCGUGUAGUCC